Molecule: microRNA, 23 nt
Filed under: Ptychodera flava
Lineage: Eukaryota; Metazoa; Hemichordata; Enteropneusta; Ptychoderidae
Description: Pfl-Mir-4824_3p* (star (passenger))
Source: RNAcentral
CCAGACAGUUUUGUAAGUUACCA